Molecule: ribosomal RNA, 420 nt
Filed under: uncultured bacterium
Lineage: Bacteria
Description: bacterial SSU rRNA
Rfam family: Bacterial small subunit ribosomal RNA
Source: RNAcentral
AAGGAAUAUUGGUCAAUGGACGGAAGUCUGAACCAGCCAUGCCGCGUGCAGGAUGACUGCCCUAUGGGUUGUAAACUACUUUUAUACAGGAAUAAACCUCGAUACGUGUGUCGAGCUGAAUGUACUGUAGGAAUAAGGAUCGGCUAACUCCGUGCCAGCAGCCGCGGUAAUACGGUGGAUCCAAGCGUUAUCCGGAUUUAUUGGGUUUAAAGGGUGCGUAGGCGGCUUUUUAAGUUAGAGGUGAAAUACGGUGGCUCAACCAUCGCAGUGCCUUUGAUACUGAAGAGCUUGAAUGAUGUUGAAGAUGGCGGAAUGAGACAAGUAGCGGUGAAAUGCAUAGAUAUGUCUCAGAACCCCGAUUGCGAAGGCAGCUAUCUAAGCAUUUAUUGACGCUGAUGCACGAAAGCGUGGGGAUCAAAC